AAUUUGAAACAAAUCUGUUACUUUAUCAACCACAAGAUAAUUUAUUUCCUUUAAAUGGCUCAAAUUAAGCAUCUGUUUGUUUCUUUUUUCUAAAAAAAAUACUUUUUAACCCCAAAUGGCCAAAUUCACUAUUUUUCCAGAAAAACGGCCAGAGGGCUCAUUAGAUACGCAUGCUGCACGGUCCUUUAUAAUUUGGAAUCAAAUGAUGAGUAACAGAAUGAUGAUUAUGGCGUCAAGGGACGGCGGUGGCGGAGGAGGCGUGGGAGGGAGGAGAUCGCAGCCAUCAACAACUUCGGUGUCGGCGUAUUUGAGUUGUGUUGGAAUUUGGUUUAAAGAUUGAAAAUUUUGAAGUAUAAAAUAUGGAAAGUGACUUUGUGUCAAUUUCAGCCAUAUAUUCGGAUUUGAUGGGAUAGUCAAAUUAUAAAUGUAAAUAGAGUAACUUGUUCUACUAGUAGAUCAUCUUGUAUAUUUGGAAUUUAAAAAUAUCUUGUAUAUUUGGAAUUUAAAAAUCAAUUCCUGAUGAAUGAGAAAUUGCAAUCCAACGUUGGAAAGAAAAGAGGAAAAAUUGGCAGGUAAAUUUGCCUAACUUUUAUUUUAGAAGUUAUCCAAUCUUCACCUAUUGAGAAACUAUUUAUUUUGGAAGUUACACAUUUACUUAUAAGCAAUCUUUUAAGUUUGGCCGAAAAUGCUGUAGUACCUUCAUACCCUGUGCUUGAAAGGUUAUACACUGAAAUGUAAUACUAGUACAUGUGCUGCAAAGGUUUUCACCAUGCAAUGCCUAGACGAUUAUUGAGCGAAAUUAUGAAGUUCUGUCUAUGUUGUAGGAGAUCAGAUUAUGUUUUUCCUUUCGUUUUGAGGAUGUUAGUUUGAAAUUAUGAAUCUUUCCACUCUUUGUUAUUUCGGUUGAAAUUCUUCCUUCUGAUAUGUGCACAGUGGCUUGAGAAUAAAAUUAGAAACUUGAUUCAAUUGUUUAAAAACAAAAAGAUCUCCACCUGAUUUCCUUAUAUUCUUGAAGCUCCAGGUGGCUGCAAUAGGAUUUUGUGAAUUAUGCGCGUUCCAUUUCCAGCCCUUUCAUAUGCACAGCUUGUUUAGUUGCUUUGACUGUUAAUUGUCCAUACAUAAAUGAAUAUGAAUACGCAAAAGUUUCAAGAAUUAGCAUUUUGAUUAGUAGGCAAGUAUUAUGGAACUGAACAAUUUUUUCAUUUUAUCUAUUUUUUCAGGGACGCCAUAUGAAGGAGGCAUAUUUUUUCUCAAUAUAACAUUUUCUAGUGAUUAUCCGUUUAAACCUCCCAAGGUAAUGCUACAUAACACUCGGAUCACUGACGAUCACCAAGUAGUCUAUUCAUGAUAUUUGUCCUUGAACAACAGGAUUUCCUAUAUCUUGCUUAAUUUUUAUUUUGGAAUAAUGUAGUCUAUGGAUUAUGAUUGGUGGAUGGCCCUUUUCCUUAAUUAGAUAACUUAAGAUUUUGAUAUUUUUUAAUACAUUCUGGGCUAAAAUCAAAAGGUUCAUCUAGCAAGUGUUAACAUUUCACUCUUAGAGGGCCUUGGGCUUUUAGCAUGUGGCCAGUUCCACCUAGACAUACCUUUGCAAUUCUAUCCAUAAGAAGGAUAAGUAAAUCCAGUUGUAUGUCAACUAGGAAGUUCUGAAUUACAGUGUUUGGUUUGAAUUGCAUUUACUUAGAUUGUAAUGUAAGUUCUAUUGAAUGCGACUAAUAUUUGUGAAAUACAAAAUUUUCAAGUUUUUGAAUUACAAUCGAGUUUAUUGGAGUUCUCAUACCAGAAUAUUUUUCAAAAGUAUUCCUGAGGAUUAACUUUGGGGUAUAAAAAAUGGUUACCUCUCUUGGUCUCAAUCCUCAAGUCAUUAUGAUUCUCCCAUACACCUCACCUUUUUCUUUCGUCCUCUGUAUAAUGUUCAUUGUUCUCCCUCCUUUUAAUAUUGACUUUUGACCCCAGGCUUGCAGGUAGUAUUUAAGCCUUUGUUUGGAGCCGAUUUUUUAGGUCAGAAAAAUUCAUUUUUGACCGUUAUCUUUCCAAAUGGGUUCCAACCGUGAGAGACAAAGUCAACAAAAAUGACUUAGACAGGUGACCAACGGUACAAAAAUUCAUCUUUUUCCCCUUAAAAUCG
RNAcentral lists this long non-coding RNA (2125 nucleotides) under Olea europaea subsp. europaea. The record is from RNAcentral. Lineage: Eukaryota; Viridiplantae; Streptophyta; Magnoliopsida; Lamiales; Oleaceae.